UACGGAGGGUGCGAGCGUUGUCCGGAAUCACUGGGCGUAAAGGGCGCGUAGGCGGCGCGGAUAGUCGGCGGUGAAAGCCCGGAGCUCAACUCCGGGUCGGCCGUCGAUACUUCCGGGCUUGAGCACUGUAGAGGCAGAUGGAAUUCCGGGUGUAGCGGUGGAAUGCGUAGAGAUCCCCAAGAACACCAGUUGCGAAGGCGGCUGACUGGACACAUAUUGACGCUGAGGCUCGAAAGCAUGGGGAGCAAACAGG
This 253-nucleotide ribosomal RNA is filed under the name uncultured bacterium. RNAcentral describes it as "partial 16S ribosomal RNA". It matches the Rfam family "Bacterial small subunit ribosomal RNA", at positions 524 to 776 of the family's 1533-position model. The record is from RNAcentral.